ACAUUAGUUAGUUGGUAGGGAUAAACCCUACCAAGACGAUGAUGUGUAGCCGGGCUGAGAGGCUGAACGGCCACAUUGGAACUGAGACACGGUCCAAACUCCUACGGGAGGCAGCAGUAGGGAAUUUUCGGCAAUGGAGGAAACUCUGACCGAGCAACGCCGCGUGAACGAUGAAGUAUUUCGAUACGUAAAGUUCUUUUAUUAGGGAAGAAAAGAUGGUGGAAAAACCAUUAUGACGGUACUUAAUGAAUAAGCCCCGGCUAACUAUGUGCCAGCAGCCGCGGUAAUACAUAGGGGGCGAGCGUUAUCCGGAAUUAUUGGGCGUAAAGGGUGCGUAGGCGGUUUAAUAAGUUUAUGGUCUAAGUGCAAUGCUUAACAUUGUGAUGCUAUAAAAACUGUUUGACUAGAGUUGGAUAGAGGCAAGUGGAAUUCCAUGUGUAGCGGUAAAAUGCGUAAAUAUAUGGAGGAACACCAUGAGCGAAGGCGGCUUGCUGGGUCUUAACUGACGCUGAGGCACGAAAGCGUGGGGAGCAAACAGGAUUAGAUACCCUGGUAGUCCACGCCGUAAACGAUGAGUACUAGACGUUGGGUUAAACCCAGUGUCGAAGUUAACACAUUAAGUACUCCGCCUGAGUAGUACGUACGCAAGUAUGAAACUUAAAGGAAUUGACGGGACUCCGCACAAGCGGUGGAUCAUGUUGUUUAAUUCGAAGGUACCCGAAAAACCUCACCAGGUCUUGACAUGCUUCUGCAAAGCUGUAGAAAUACAGUGGAGGUUAUCAGUUGCACAGGUGGUGCAUGGUUGUCGUCAGCUCGUGUCGUGAGAUGUUGGGUUAAGUCCAACAACGAGCGCAACCCUUGUUGUUAAUUGCCAUCAUUAAGUUGGGGACUUUAGCAAGACUGCCAGUGAUAAAUUGGAGGAAGGUGGGGACGACGUCAAAUCAUCAUGCCCCUUAUGACCUGGGCUACAAACGUGAUACAAUGGCUGUUACAAAGGGUAGCUGAAGCGCAAGCUUUUGGCUAAUCUCAAAA
RNAcentral lists this ribosomal RNA (1032 nucleotides) under Papaya apical curl necrosis phytoplasma. RNAcentral's name for it is "bacterial SSU rRNA". It matches the Rfam family "Bacterial small subunit ribosomal RNA", at positions 238 to 1279 of the family's 1533-position model. Lineage: Bacteria; Bacillati; Mycoplasmatota; Mollicutes; Acholeplasmatales; Acholeplasmataceae. The record is from RNAcentral.